CUACGGGACGCAGCAGUGAGGAAUAUUGCACAAUGGGGGAAACCCUGAUGCAGCAACGCCGCGUGGAGGAUGACGCAUUUCGGUGUGUAAACUCCUUUUAUGAGUCAAGAAAAUGACGGUAGCUCAUGAAUAAGCACCGGCUAACUCCGUGCCAGCAGCCGCGGUAAUACGGAGGGUGCAAGCGUUACUCGGAAUCACUGGGCGUAAAGGACGCGUAGGCUGGUUGUCAAGUCAGAUGUGAAAUCCUACAGCUUAACUGUAGAACUGCAUUUGAAACUGGCAACCUAGAGUAUGGGAGGGGGAGAUGGAAUUAGUGGUGUAGGGGUAAAAUCCGUAGAUAUCACUAGGAAUACCGAAAGCGAAGGCGAUCUCCUGGAACAUUACUGACGCUAAGGCGUGAAAGCGUGGGGAGCAAACGGGAUUAGAUACCCGGGUAGUC
This 439-nucleotide ribosomal RNA is filed under the name uncultured bacterium. RNAcentral's name for it is "partial 16S ribosomal RNA". It matches the Rfam family "Bacterial small subunit ribosomal RNA", at positions 339 to 795 of the family's 1533-position model. The record is from RNAcentral.